Molecule: long non-coding RNA, 1178 nt
Filed under: Homo sapiens (human)
Lineage: Eukaryota; Metazoa; Chordata; Mammalia; Primates; Hominidae
Description: HSALNT0057550
Source: RNAcentral
GGGGAUGUCAGUUGAGUUUGGUCCGAUUUUCCUUUCUGCUCUAAUACCACUGAGGACACCACUGUGUUCAAUGCCUCACAAUUGCUGUCCUCUCCCUCCCCCAGUGCCUGGAGAUGCUGUCCACAUCAUGCAGCUGCUCGGGACCACUACGGGCAACUCUCCAUCUAUCCCUCCUGAUUCCUUUAUGGACAACUCUCCAUCUAUUCCACCUGAUUCCUCUAUGGACAACUCUCCAUCUAUUCCGCCUGAUUCCUCCAUGGGCAACUGUCCAUGUAUUCCACCUGACUCCCAGCUAGGCUGCAUCCUCCACCAUUGGAAUCAAUUUGACCCUGACAACCUAAAAAGAAAACUGUGAUGAUUAAUACUGAGUGUCAACUUGAUUGGAUAGAAGGAUGCAAAGUAUUGAUCCUGGAUGUGUCUGUGAGGGUAUUGCCAAAGGAGAUUAACAUUUGAGUCAGUGGGCUGGGAAAGGCAGACCCACUCUUAAUCUGGGUGGGCACCAUCUAAUUAGCUGCCAGCAUGGCUAGAAUAUAAAGCAGGCAGAAAAACAUGAAAAAACUAGAUUGGCCUAGCCUCCCGGCAUACAUCUUUCUCCUGUGCUGGAUGAUUCCUGCCUUUGAACAUCGGACUCCAAGUUCUUCAGUUUUGGGACUCACACUGGCUUUCCUUGUUCUUCAGCUUGCAGACAGUCUAUUGUGGGAUGUGGUGAUCGUGUGAGUUAAUACUACUUAAUAAACUCAUACGUAUAAUAUAUAUCAUAUAUAUGAUAUAUAUGAUAUAUAUAUCAUAUAUAUGAUAUAUAUAUGAUAUAUAUAUAUCAUAUAUAUAUCAUAUAUAUAUAUUCUAUUCAGUCCCUCUACAGAGCCCUGACUAAUACAGAUUUUGGUACCAGGAGUGGUUCUAGAAGAGCAGAAUAUUAAGGCUGGAGUUCUUUCAUUGGUUUUGGGGUUUCUGGAGUUGGCUGCUUAAUAUGAUUAGACCCAAAAAUGCUAAGGACUCUACUUCUAAUAGUAUAGAGAACACUAAUAGUCCUUGGCAUAAACCAUUUAGAGAGUUAUGCAAAAUAAAUGCAUUUGAAAAUCCUGGUUCACUGCUCAUGAGAAGCAAGGAAUUUAGCAACUCUGUACAUAAUACCUUUGAUCGUAUGUGGAAAACCAAGGAACAUAAUAAAGCUGGUC